RNAcentral lists this ribosomal RNA (460 nucleotides) under uncultured bacterium. Its description in RNAcentral is "partial 16S ribosomal RNA". It matches the Rfam family "Bacterial small subunit ribosomal RNA", at positions 338 to 795 of the family's 1533-position model. The record is from RNAcentral.
CCUACGGGUGGCAGCAGUGAGGAAUAUUGGUCAAUGGACGAGAGUCUGAACCAGCCAAGUAGCGUGAAGGAUGACUGCCCUAUGGGUUGUAAACUUCUUUUAUAUGGGAAUAAAAUGUUCCACGUGUGGGAUUUUGUAUGUACCAUAUGAAUAAGGAUCGGCUAACUCCGUACCAGCAGCCGCGGUAAUACGGAGGAUCCGAGCGUUAUCCGGAUUUAUUGGGUUUAACGGGAGCGUAGGUGGAUUGUUAAGUCAGUUGUGAAAGUUUGCGGCUCAACCGUAAAAUUGCAGUUGAAACUGGCAGUCUUGAGUACAGUAGAGGUGGGCGGAAUUCGUGGUGUAGCGGUGAAAUGCUUAGAUAUCACGAAGAACUCCGAUUGCGAAGGCAGUUCACUGGACUGCAACUGACACUGAGGCUCGAAAGUGUGGGUAUCAAACAGGAUUAGAUACCCUAGUAGUC